CGAAUGCUGACAUAAGUAACGAUAAAGCGGGUGAAAAGCCCGCUCGCCGGAAGACCAAGGGUUCCUGUCCAACGUUAAUCGGGGCAGGGUGAGUCGACCCCUAAGGCGAGGCCGAAAGGCGUAGUCGAUGGGAAACAGGUUAAUAUUCCUGUACUUGGUGUUACUGCGAAGGGGGGACGGAGAAGGCUAUGUUGGCCGGGCGACGGUUGUCCCGGUUUAAGCGUGUAGGCUGGUUUUCCAGGCAAAUCCGGAAAAUCAAGGCUGAGGCGUGAUGACGAGGCACUACGGUGCUGAAGCAACAAAUGCCCUGCUUCCAGGAAAAGCCUCUAAGCAUCAGGUAACAUCAAAUCGUACCCCAAACCGACACAGGUGGUCAGGUAGAGAAUACCAAGGCGCUUGAGAGAACUCGGGUGAAGGAACUAGGCAAAAUGGU
RNAcentral lists this ribosomal RNA (433 nucleotides) under Escherichia coli. RNAcentral's name for it is "partial 23S ribosomal RNA". It matches the Rfam family "Bacterial large subunit ribosomal RNA", at positions 1291 to 1726 of the family's 2925-position model. The record is from RNAcentral. Lineage: Bacteria; Pseudomonadati; Pseudomonadota; Gammaproteobacteria; Enterobacterales; Enterobacteriaceae.